This 506-nucleotide ribosomal RNA is filed under the name Staphylococcus aureus. RNAcentral's name for it is "bacterial SSU rRNA". It matches the Rfam family "Bacterial small subunit ribosomal RNA", at positions 39 to 497 of the family's 1533-position model. The record is from RNAcentral. Lineage: Bacteria; Bacillati; Bacillota; Bacilli; Caryophanales; Staphylococcaceae.
GGGAGAUUCGUGCCUAAUACAUGCAAGUCGAGCGAACGGACGAGAAGCUUGCUUCUCUGAUGUUAGCGGCGGACGGGUGAGUAACACGUGGAUAACCUACCUAUAAGAGAUUGACUGGGAUAACUUCGGGAAACCGGAGCUAAUACCGGAUAAUAUUUUGAACCGCAUGGUUCAAAAGUGAAAGACGGGAGACGUUUCUUGCUGUCACUUUUAUAGAUGGAUCCGCGCUGCAUUAGCUAGUUGGUAAGGUAACGGCUUACCAAGGCAACGAUGCAUAGCCGACCUGAGAGGGUGAUCGGCCACACUGGAACUGAGACACGGUCCAGACUCCUACGGGAGGCAGCAGUAGGGAAUCUUCCGCAGAGAGCGCUUAAUGGGCGAAAGCCUGACGGAGCAACGCCGCGUGAGUGAUGAAGGUCUUCGGAUCGUAAAACUCUGUUAUUAGGGAAGAACAUAUGUGUAAGUAACUGUGCACAUCUGACGGUACCUAAUCAGAAAGCCACAAC